This 90-nucleotide ribosomal RNA is filed under the name Colwellia sp. MB02u-10. The record is from RNAcentral. Lineage: Bacteria; Pseudomonadati; Pseudomonadota; Gammaproteobacteria; Alteromonadales; Colwelliaceae.
UCUAGCGACAAUAGCGACAUGGCCCCACCUGAUCCCAUUCCGAACUCAGAAGUGAAACGUGUUAGCGCCGAUGGUAGUGUGGGAGUUCCC